AGCCUGAACGCUGGCGGCGUGGCUAAGACAUGCAAGUCGCACGGGUGUAGCAAUACACCAGUGGCGGACGGGUGAGUAAUGUAUCGCUAACGUACCCUUCAGUCCGGGAUAGCCGAGGGAAACUUCGGGUAAUACCGGUUGACAUCACGAUCAGGCAUCUGAUUGUGCUCAAAGGCGUAAGCCGCUGAUGGAGCGGGCGGAGUAUCGUAUCAGCUUGUUGGUGAGGUAACGGCUCACCAAGGCGACGACGCGUAGCCGGACUGAGAGGUUGGCCGGCCACAUUGGGACUGAGACACUGCCCAGACUCCUACGGGGGGCUGCAGUAACGAAUCUUCCGCAAUGCACGCAAGUGUGACGGAGCGACGCCGCGUGUGGGACGAAGCCCUUCGGGGUGUAAACCACUGUCAGGGGAUAGAAAGUUCUGAUCAUCCCCAGAGGAAGGCACGGCUAACUCUGCGCCAGCAGCCGCGGU
This 472-nucleotide ribosomal RNA is filed under the name uncultured bacterium. RNAcentral describes it as "SSU rRNA". It matches the Rfam family "Bacterial small subunit ribosomal RNA", at positions 26 to 521 of the family's 1533-position model. The record is from RNAcentral.